This 478-nucleotide ribosomal RNA is filed under the name uncultured bacterium. RNAcentral's name for it is "partial 16S ribosomal RNA". It matches the Rfam family "Bacterial small subunit ribosomal RNA", at positions 28 to 507 of the family's 1533-position model. The record is from RNAcentral.
GAUGAACGCUGGCGGCGUGCUUAACACAUGCAAGUCGAACGGGAAUUAUUUUAUUGAAACUUCGGUCGAUUUCAUUUAAUUCUAGUGGCGGACGGGUGAGUAACGCGUGGGUAACCUGCCUUAUACAGGGGGAUAACAGUCAGAAAUGGCUGCUAAUACCGCAUAAGCGCACAGAGCUGCAUGGCUCAGUGUGAAAAACUCCGGUGGUAUAAGAUGGACCCGCGUUGGAUUAGCUGGUUGGUGGGGUAACGGCCCACCACGGCGACGAUCCAUAGCCGGCCUGAGAGGGUGAACGGACACAUUGGGACUGAGACACGGCCCAGACUCCUACGGGAGGCAGCAGUGGGGAAUAUUGCACAAUGGGGGAAACCCUGAUGCAGCGACGCCGCGUGAAGGAAGAAGUAUCUCGGUAUGUAAACUUCUAUCAGCAGGGAAGAUAGUGACGGUACCUGACUAAGAAGCCCCGGCUAACUACGUG